Molecule: unclassified non-coding RNA, 520 nt
Filed under: uncultured Glomus
Lineage: Eukaryota; Fungi; Glomeromycota; Glomeromycetes; Glomerales; Glomeraceae
Description: SSU rRNA
Rfam family: Eukaryotic small subunit ribosomal RNA
Source: RNAcentral
AGCAGCCGCGGUAAUUCCAGCUCCAAUAGCGUAUAUUAAAGUUGUUGCAGUUAAAAGCUCGUAGUUGAAUUUCGGGAUUAAUAUGUUGGUCGUGCCUUGGUACGUACUGGCAUUAUUGAUUCCUACCUUCUGAAGAACCUCGAUGUCAUUAAUUUGGUGUCUUGGGGAAUCAGGACCGUUACUUUGAAAAAUUAGAGUGUUUAAAGCAGGCUCGCGCUUGAAUACAUUAGCAUGGAAUAAUGAAAUAGGACGUUUGAUUCUAUUUUGUUGGUUUCUAGGAUCGACGUAAUGAUUAAUAGGGAUAGUUGGGGGCAUUAGUAUUCAAUUGUCAGAGGUGAAAUUCUUGGAUUUAUUGAAGACUGACUACUGCGAAAGCAUUUGCCAAGGAUGUUUUCAUUAAUCAAGAACGAAAGUUAGGGAUCGAAGACGAUCAGAUACCGUCGUAGUUCUUAACCAUAAACUAUGCCGACUAGGGAUCGGAUGAUGUUAAUUUUUUAAUGUACUCAUUCGGCGCCUUAAA